Molecule: ribosomal RNA, 471 nt
Filed under: Atopostipes sp. oral taxon B55
Lineage: Bacteria; Bacillati; Bacillota; Bacilli; Lactobacillales; Carnobacteriaceae
Description: bacterial SSU rRNA
Rfam family: Bacterial small subunit ribosomal RNA
Source: RNAcentral
GACGAACGCUGGCGGCAUGCCUAAUACAUGCAAGUCAAACGCUGAAGCACUCUGCUUGCAGAGUGCGGAUGAGUGGCGAACGGGUGAGUAACACGUGGGAAAUCUGCCUAUAAGAGGGGGAUAACAUUCGGAAACGGAUGCUAAUACCGCAUAUAUUCUUGGACCGCCUGGUCCUUGAAAGAAAGACGGCUUUGCUGUCGCUUAUAGAUGAUCCCGCGGCGUAUUAGUUAGUUGGUGGGGUAAAGGCCUACCAAGACAAUGAUACGUAGCCGACCUGAGAGGGUGAUCGGCCACACUGGGACUGAGACACGGCCCAGACUCCUACGGGAGGCAGCAGUAGGGAAUCUUCCACAAUGGGCGAAAGCCUGAUGGAGCAAUGCCGCGUGAAUGAAGAAGGUCUUCGGAUCGUAAAGUUCUGUUAUUAGAGAAGAACAAGUCAAGGAGUAACUGUCUUGACUUGGACGUACCUAA